GACGAACGCUGGCAGCGUGCUUAACACAUGCAAGUCGAACGGAAAGGCCCUGCUUUUGUGGGGUGCUCGAGUGGCGAACGGGUGAGUAACACGUGAGUAACCUGCCCUUGACUUUGGGAUAACUUCAGGAAACUGGGGCUAAUACCGGAUAGGAGCUCCUGCUGCAUGGUGGGGGUUGGAAAGUUUCGGCGGUUGGGGAUGGACUCGCGGCUUAUCAGCUUGUUGGUGGGGUAGUGGCUUACCAAGGCUUUGACGGGUAGCCGGCCUGAGAGGGUGACCGGCUACAUUGGGACUGAGAUACGGCCCAGACUCCUACGGGAGGCAGCAGUGGGGAAUAUUGCACAAUGGGCGGAAGCCUGAUGCAGCAACGCCGCGUGCGGGAUGACGGCCUUCGGGUUGUAAACCGCUUUCGCCUGUGACGAAGCGUGAGUGACGGUAAUGGGUAAAGAAGCACCGGCUAACUACGUG
Molecule: ribosomal RNA, 468 nt
Filed under: uncultured bacterium
Lineage: Bacteria
Description: partial 16S ribosomal RNA
Rfam family: Bacterial small subunit ribosomal RNA
Source: RNAcentral